CAGUGCAAGACCGAGUUAAGCUCAUCUGAUUCUAGUGUAUAGACAGCUUGGUGAUUAUUUCUGAUGAUGAGAUUCCCGAAACAACCACUCAUGACCUUUUGAAUCUGAGUUCCACACAAUUUGAGGGAAACGUGACUAACAGUGAUUAUGACGGAGAUAUUUCAGAUACGAGUGAUGCAAUAGAAGACCAAGAGGAAAUCAUCUCGGAAACCGACAUUCAACAAGACAUCGAACUACAACAGAUCUGCGCAGUGUGGCGUGAAUUCUUCGAAGCAAAGACUGAUUUAUUGGAAAACUUUGGACAGAUUGAUUAUACACUUGAUUCUGGUCGAGGUACAGAUUUUAUCCCUUUACUGUACAGCACGCUUGAAAAUGUGAAUAGAUGUCUCACAGUGAGCAUAAAGUUGAUUAGAAAAUUGUAUGAUAGAUAUGGCGCAGAAACGACUGAAAUGCAGUUCGGAUAUGGAGACUAAAAAAAGAGAACCGAAAAUUCUCCAUUAUCACAUGAUUUCUUUUAUGACGGAAACCAGAGUUUUUCAAAUGAUUCGCACACACCCCUGA
This is a long non-coding RNA of Ictalurus punctatus (channel catfish), 561 nucleotides long. Lineage: Eukaryota; Metazoa; Chordata; Actinopteri; Siluriformes; Ictaluridae. The record is from Ensembl.